This 689-nucleotide ribosomal RNA is filed under the name uncultured bacterium. RNAcentral's name for it is "bacterial SSU rRNA". It matches the Rfam family "Bacterial small subunit ribosomal RNA", at positions 32 to 715 of the family's 1533-position model. The record is from RNAcentral.
AACGCUAGCUACAGGCUUAACACAUGCAAGUCGAGGGGCAGCAUGACCUAGCAAUAGGUUGAUGGCGACCGGCGCACGGGUGAGUAACACGUAUCCAACCUACCGGUCAUUCCGGGAUAGCCUUUCGAAAGAAAGAUUAAUACCGGAUAGUAUAACGAGAAGGCAUCUUCUUGUUAUUAAAGAAUUUCGAUAACCGAUGGGGAUGCGUUCCAUUAGUUUGUUGGCGGGGUAACGGCCCACCAAGACAUCGAUGGAUAGGGGUUCUGAGAGGAAGGUCCCCCACAUUGGAACUGAGACACGGUCCAAACUCCUACGGGAGGCAGCAGUGAGGAAUAUUGGUCAAUGGACGAGAGUCUGAACCAGCCAAGUAGCGUGAAGGAUGACGGCCCUAUGGGUUGUAAACUGCUUUUAUACAGGAAUAAAGUUAGCCACGUGUGGUUAUUUGUAGGUACUGUAUGAAUAAGGACCGGCUAAUUCCGUGCCAGCAGCCGCGGUAAUACGGAAGGUCCAGGCGUUAUCCGGAUUUAUUGGGUUUAAAGGGAGCGUAGGCCGUCUGUUAAGCGUGUUGUGAAAUGUAGAUGCUCAACAUCUGAAUUGCAGCGCGAACUGGCAGACUUGAGUGUGCGCAACGUAGGCGGAAUUCGUGGUGUAGCGGUGAAAUGCUUAGAUAUCACGAAGAACUCCGAUUG